UACGGAGGGUGCAAGCGUUAUCCGGAAUCAUUGGGUUUAAAGGGUCCGCAGGCGGAUUUAUAAGUCAGUGGUGAAAGCCUGCAGCUCAACUGCAGAACUGCCAUUGAUACUGUAAGUCUUGAAUUCGGUCGAAGUGGGCGGAAUAUGACAUGUAGCGGUGAAAUGCUUAGAUAUGUCAUAGAACACCGAUAGCGAAGGCAGCUCACUAGGCCUGGAUUGACGCUCAGGGACGAAAGCGUGGGGAG
RNAcentral lists this ribosomal RNA (245 nucleotides) under uncultured Fluviicola sp. RNAcentral describes it as "partial 16S ribosomal RNA". It matches the Rfam family "Bacterial small subunit ribosomal RNA", at positions 524 to 768 of the family's 1533-position model. The record is from RNAcentral. Lineage: Bacteria; Pseudomonadati; Bacteroidota; Flavobacteriia; Flavobacteriales; Crocinitomicaceae.